RNAcentral lists this ribosomal RNA (2927 nucleotides) under Salmonella enterica subsp. enterica serovar Saintpaul. RNAcentral's name for it is "23S ribosomal RNA". It matches the Rfam family "Bacterial large subunit ribosomal RNA". The record is from RNAcentral. Lineage: Bacteria; Pseudomonadati; Pseudomonadota; Gammaproteobacteria; Enterobacterales; Enterobacteriaceae.
GGGUUGUGAGGUUAAGCGACUAAGCGUACACGGUGGAUGCCCUGGCAGUCAGAGGCGAUGAAGGGCGUGCUAAUCUGCGAUAAGCGCCGGUAAGGUGAUAUGAACCGUUAUAACCGGCGAUACCCGAAUGGGGAAACCCAGUGUGACUCGUCACACUAUCAUUAACUGAAUCCAUAGGUUAAUGAGGCGAACCGGGGGAACUGAAACAUCUAAGUACCCCGAGGAAAAGAAAUCAACCGAGAUUCCCCCAGUAGCGGCGAGCGAACGGGGAGGAGCCCAGAGCCUGAAUCAGCAUGUGUGUUAGUGGAAGCGUCUGGAAAGGCGCGCGAUACAGGGUGACAGCCCCGUACACAAAAGCGCAUGUGCUGUGAGCUCGAUGAGUAGGGCGGGACACGUGGUAUCCUGUCUGAAUAUGGGGGGACCAUCCUCCAAGGCUAAAUACUCCUGACUGACCGAUAGUGAACCAGUACCGUGAGGGAAAGGCGAAAAGAACCCCGGCGAGGGGAGUGAAAAAGAACCUGAAACCGUGUACGUACAAGCAGUGGGAGCCUCUUUUAUGGGGUGACUGCGUACCUUUUGUAUAAUGGGUCAGCGACUUAUAUUCUGUAGCAAGGUUAACCGUAUAGGGGAGCCGGAGGGAAACCGAGUCUUAAUUGGGCGUUAAGUUGCAGGGUAUAGACCCGAAACCCGGUGAUCUAGCCAUGGGCAGGUUGAAGGUUGGGUAACACUAACUGGAGGACCGAACCGACUAAUGUUGAAAAAUUAGCGGAUGACCUGUGGCUGGGGGUGAAAGGCCAAUCAAACCGGGAGAUAGCUGGUUCUCCCCGAAAGCUAUUUAGGUAGCGCCUCGUGAAUUCAUCUCCGGGGGUAGAGCACUGUUUCGGCUAGGGGGCCAUCCCGGCUUACCAACCCGAUGCAAACUGCGAAUACCGGAGAAUGUUAUCACGGGAGACACACGGCGGGUGCUAACGUCCGUCGUGAAGAGGGAAACAACCCAGACCGCCAGCUAAGGUCCCAAAGUCAUGGUUAAGUGGGAAACGAUGUGGGAAGGCCCAGACAGCCAGGAUGUUGGCUUAGAAGCAGCCAUCAUUUAAAGAAAGCGUAAUAGCUCACUGGUCGAGUCGGCCUGCGCGGAAGAUGUAACGGGGCUAAACCAUGCACCGAAGCUGCGGCAGCGACGCUUAUGCGUUGUUGGGUAGGGGAGCGUUCUGUAAGCCUGUGAAGGUGGCCUGUGAGGGUUGCUGGAGGUAUCAGAAGUGCGAAUGCUGACAUAAGUAACGAUAAAGCGGGUGAAAAGCCCGCUCGCCGGAAGACCAAGGGUUCCUGUCCAACGUUAAUCGGGGCAGGGUGAGUCGACCCCUAAGGCGAGGCCGAAAGGCGUAGUCGAUGGGAAACGGGUUAAUAUUCCCGUACUUGGUGUUACUGCGAAGGGGGGACGGAGAAGGCUAUGUUGGCCGGGCGACGGUUGUCCCGGUUUAAGCGUGUAGGUGUGUGUUCCAGGUAAAUCCGGUUCACUUUAACACUGAGGCGUGACGACGAGGCACUACGGUGCUGAAGCAACAAAUGCCCUGCUUCCAGGAAAAGCCUCUAAGCAUCAGGUAACAUCAAAUCGUACCCCAAACCGACACAGGUGGUCAGGUAGAGAAUACCAAGGCGCUUGAGAGAACUCGGGUGAAGGAACUAGGCAAAAUGGUGCCGUAACUUCGGGAGAAGGCACGCUGACAUGUAGGUGAAGUGAUUUACUCAUGGAGCUGAAGUCAGUCGAAGAUACCAGCUGGCUGCAACUGUUUAUUAAAAACACAGCACUGUGCAAACACGAAAGUGGACGUAUACGGUGUGACGCCUGCCCGGUGCCGGAAGGUUAAUUGAUGGGGUCAGCGCAAGCGAAGCUCCUGAUCGAAGCCCCGGUAAACGGCGGCCGUAACUAUAACGGUCCUAAGGUAGCGAAAUUCCUUGUCGGGUAAGUUCCGACCUGCACGAAUGGCGUAAUGAUGGCCAGGCUGUCUCCACCCGAGACUCAGUGAAAUUGAACUCGCUGUGAAGAUGCAGUGUACCCGCGGCAAGACGGAAAGACCCCGUGAACCUUUACUAUAGCUUGACACUGAACAUUGAGCCUUGAUGUGUAGGAUAGGUGGGAGGCUUUGAAGUGUGGACGCCAGUCUGCAUGGAGCCGACCUUGAAAUACCACCCUUUAAUGUUUGAUGUUCUAACGUGGACCCGUAAUCCGGGUUGCGGACAGUGUCUGGUGGGUAGUUUGACUGGGGCGGUCUCCUCCUAAAGAGUAACGGAGGAGCACGAAGGUUGGCUAAUCCUGGUCGGACAUCAGGAGGUUAGUGCAAUGGCAUAAGCCAGCUUGACUGCGAGCGUGACGGCGCGAGCAGGUGCGAAAGCAGGUCAUAGUGAUCCGGUGGUUCUGAAUGGAAGGGCCAUCGCUCAACGGAUAAAAGGUACUCCGGGGAUAACAGGCUGAUACCGCCCAAGAGUUCAUAUCGACGGCGGUGUUUGGCACCUCGAUGUCGGCUCAUCACAUCCUGGGGCUGAAGUAGGUCCCAAGGGUAUGGCUGUUCGCCAUUUAAAGUGGUACGCGAGCUGGGUUUAGAACGUCGUGAGACAGUUCGGUCCCUAUCUGCCGUGGGCGCUGGAGAACUGAGGGGGGCUGCUCCUAGUACGAGAGGACCGGAGUGGACGCAUCACUGGUGUUCGGGUUGUCAUGCCAAUGGCACUGCCCGGUAGCUAAAUGCGGAAGAGAUAAGUGCUGAAAGCAUCUAAGCACGAAACUUGCCCCGAGAUGAGUUCUCCCUGAGACUUAGAGUCUCCUGAAGGAACGUUGAAGACGACGACGUUGAUAGGCCGGGUGUGUAAGCGCAGCGAUGCGUUGAGCUAACCGGUACUAAUGAACCGUGAGGCUUAACCUUACAACGCCGAAG